RNAcentral lists this ribosomal RNA (449 nucleotides) under uncultured bacterium. RNAcentral describes it as "bacterial SSU rRNA". It matches the Rfam family "Bacterial small subunit ribosomal RNA", at positions 328 to 794 of the family's 1533-position model. The record is from RNAcentral.
CUACCAGACUCCUACGGGAGGCAGCAGUCGGGAAUAUUGCGCAAUGGAGGAAACUCUGACGCAGUGACGCCGCGUGCAGGAAGAAGGUUUUCGGAUUGUAAACUGCUUUAGACAGGGAAGAAAAAAGACAGUACCUGUAGAAUAAGCUCCGGCUAACUCCGUGCCAGCAGCCGCGGUAAUACGGAGGAUGCGAGCGUUAUCCGGAUUUAUUGGGUUUAAAGGGUGCGUAGGCGGAAUGCCAAGUCAGCGGUAAAAUCGCGGGGCUCACCCCCGCUCCGCCGUUGAAACUGGCGUUCUUGAGUGGGCGAGAAGUAUGCGGAAUGCGUGGUGUAGCGGUGAAAUGCAUAGAUAUCACGCAGAACUCCGAUUGCGAAGGCAGCGCACCGGCGCCCUACUGACGCUCAGGCACGAAAGCGUGGGUAUCGAACAGGAUUAGAUACCCGCGUAUA